RNAcentral lists this ribosomal RNA (540 nucleotides) under uncultured bacterium. RNAcentral's name for it is "bacterial SSU rRNA". It matches the Rfam family "Archaeal small subunit ribosomal RNA", at positions 728 to 1263 of the family's 1478-position model. The record is from RNAcentral.
AUAAUAGACUACCCGGGUAGUCCCAGCCGUGACGAUGCGCGUUAGGUGUAUCGGUGACCACGAGUCACCGAGGUGCCGAAGGGAAACCGUGAAACGUGCCGCCUGGGAAGUACGGUCGCAAGGCUGAAACUUAAAGGAAUUGGCGGGGGGAGCACCACAACGGGUGGAGCCUGCGGUUUAAUUGGACUCAACGCCGGGAAGCUCACCGGAUAAGACAGCUGAAUGAUUGCCGGGCUGAAGACUCUGCAUGACUAGCUGAGAGGAGGUGCAUGGCCGUCGUCAGUUCGUACUGUGAAGCAUCCUGUUAAGUCAGGCAACGAGCGAGACCCACGCCAACAGUUGCCAGCAUGGUCUCCGGACUGAUGGGGACACUGUUGGGACCGCCUCUGCUAAAGAGGAGGAAGGAAUGGGCAACGGUAGGUCAGCAUGCCCCGAAUUAUCCGGGCUACACGCGGGCUACGAAUGGGCAGGACAAUGGGUAUCGACACCGAAAGGUGAAGGCAAUCUCCUAAACCUGUCCUUAGUUCGGAUUGUGGGUCG